This 511-nucleotide ribosomal RNA is filed under the name uncultured bacterium. RNAcentral's name for it is "bacterial SSU rRNA". It matches the Rfam family "Bacterial small subunit ribosomal RNA", at positions 10 to 522 of the family's 1533-position model. The record is from RNAcentral.
ACUUUGAUUAUGGCUCGGGACGAACGCUGGCGGCGCGCCUAACACAUGCAAGUCGAGCGGGAAGCUUUUUAAGGAUUCUUCGGAUGAAUUAAAAAGUGGAGAGCGGCGGACGGGUGAGUAACGCGUGAGAAACCUGCCCUAUACAGGGGGAUAGCCAUUGGAAACGAUGAUUAAUACCCCAUAUGACCACGGUAUCGCAUGAUACAGCGGUGAAAACUCCGGUGGUAUAGGAUGGUCUCGCGUCUGAUUAGCUAGUUGGUGGGGUAACGGCCUACCAAGGCGACGAUCAGUAGCCGGCCUGAGAGGGUGACCGGCCACACUGGAACUGAGACACGGUCCAGACUCCUACGGGAGGCAGCAGUGGGGAAUAUUGCACAAUGGGCGAAAGCCUGAUGCAGCGACGCCGCGUGAACGAUGAAGGCUUUCGAGUCGUAAAGUUCUGUUCUUGGGGAAGAUAACGACGGUACCCAAGGAGAAAGCACCGGCUAAAUACGUGCCAGCAGCCGCGGUA